CGCUGAUGAUCGAGACCCAUAUAAGCCACGUCACCCCAAAGGGUUUCUCCUGUGCUCC
Molecule: transfer RNA, 58 nt
Filed under: Lotharella globosa
Lineage: Eukaryota; Cercozoa; Chlorarachniophyceae
Description: partial Selenocysteine transfer RNA
Source: RNAcentral